ACUUAGUUUUAAAAGUUAAAUUACACUGACACUGCACUGGGCAAACUUUGGUACCUCAGUGCUCAAGGUUUAAACACCAACCACAUCCUGUAACUGCAAACCGCAGACCUGGUCAAUGCUGAGUCUGAUGGCUUCUUUAACCUGAUCUACAAUCUGUCAUAAAAAGCCCUUAAACAGAGAAUGGCCAGCUUCUAGCACAGACAAGCAUUUUAAAUUUCUGUUUUCUAUAUAAUAAUGUAGCUGACAGUGAUCUUGUUAGAACAACAGCUGAGUUUGUCUGAUUUAUAAAAUGGGUGAAUAAUAAUAAUGAAACCAGAAAAGUUAUCUUUAAAGGAACUGAUCUGUGCAUGAUGUUAUAUCUUGUCACUUAGGAAAGCAAACAUUCACCUUUGUGAUAGUCUUAAAAACCUGAAGAAAGCAUAAGGCUUGUGUCCAAAACAGGUUCACGCUGCACAACAUCCAUGAGAUCAGACCUUAUCUGACAGAAUAUGCAGCACAACUUCUGGUUCAGGCUUUGGUCUCAUCACAUCUGGACUUCUGACAGGAGAACCCACAUGUGCUAUCAAGCCGCUGCAGGUAGUCCAGAAUGCAGCAGCCCAUCUUGUAUUUAACCAGCAGAGAUGGGCACAAGUCAGUCCUUUCUUCAGGUCACUACAUUUGCUCCCUGUAGCAGCACAUAUUAAGUUCAAAUCCCUAAUGCUUGCCUACAGAGUAGUCAGUGGGUCAGCACCUGUGUUUAUGAAGACACGGAUCACCUGAAGAGAAACCAGAAUAAAAUACUUCCUCCCAUUCCUGUACCCUUUACCUAGCCACACUUCCCAUCGACGUUACUUCUGAGUCUUUGAUCCUGGACCCACCUCUUCCUCCCCUGUCUCUAUAUGA
Long non-coding RNA from Erpetoichthys calabaricus (reedfish), 882 nucleotides. RefSeq lists it as uncharacterized. The transcript has 3 exons. The record is from RefSeq and is a predicted model, not a curated record. NCBI's taxonomy places the organism in Eukaryota, Metazoa, Chordata, Cladistia, Polypteriformes, Polypteridae.